RNAcentral lists this ribosomal RNA (373 nucleotides) under Peptostreptococcus stomatis. Its description in RNAcentral is "bacterial SSU rRNA". It matches the Rfam family "Bacterial small subunit ribosomal RNA", at positions 381 to 774 of the family's 1533-position model. The record is from RNAcentral. Lineage: Bacteria; Bacillati; Bacillota; Clostridia; Peptostreptococcales; Peptostreptococcaceae.
AGCUGAUGCAGCACGCCGCGUGACGAUGAAGGUCUUCGGAUCGUAAAGUUCUGUUGCAGGGGAAGAUAAUGACGGUACCCUGUGAGGAAGCCCCGGCUAACUACGUGCCAGCAGCCGCGGUAAUACGUAGGGGGCUAGCGUUAUCCGGAUUUACUGGGCGUAAAGGGUGCGUAGGUGGUCCUUCAAGUCGGUGGUUAAAGGCUACGGCUCAACCGUAGUAAGCCGCCGAAACUGGAGGACUUGAGUGCAGGAGAGGAAAGUGGAAUUCCCAGUGUAGCGGUGAAAUGCGUAGAUAUUGGGAGGAACACCAGUAGCGAAGGCGGCUUUCUGGACUGCAACUGACACUGAGGCACGAAAGCGUGGGUAGCAAACA